Zonotrichia albicollis (white-throated sparrow) is the source of this 2862-nucleotide non-coding RNA. The record is from RefSeq and is a predicted model, not a curated record. Lineage: Eukaryota; Metazoa; Chordata; Aves; Passeriformes; Passerellidae.
UGUGCAGGCUUGGAUAUUGGAGAUUUUCUGAAUGAUUUUCUAAAAGGCAUGGUGAAUAUUCGAAAGUAAUUUUUUGUUUCAUAUCUCCCUGUGGACUGUUAUUGAACAAAUUGAAAAUUUGAGCUGAAAGCCUCGAACACCCAGUGCUGUAACCUGUGGAACAGCUGGAUGGAGCAAGGAGCAGAGAGGAGUGACUGCAGUCACAGGAGGAGCCAGUGGCAGCCUCAGGGGAAAGCAAAUCUGGCUCCUGCCAAUGUGCCAGAGGAAGAAGCAUGUUCAGGUGGAGAGAAUACCAUUGAUAGUUCCAAAAGUCAGAGUGCUGCAUGGGUAAAUGCAAAGAAUGCACAUUCCUUAUUCCACUCCCAAAAAACCCCUAGGGGAGAUCCUUUAACUUCUCUCCAGCCAAGACCCCAGCUGGGUUUCCUCCUUACCUUCUCCCCACAUUCACACAUCCCCAUGACUGGAACUGAGUGCAGGUAUGGACAGUGGAUAUAACAGCCCUGCACAUUUCCUUUGGGCUCUCAGCUGUGUUUUCCAACAUUGUUGCAUUUUGUGUUUAUAGCACAGCAAAGAUUUUCUUGCUCAUUUAAUUUUCUCUUCCCAUGCUGCAAGGCUUAGUUCAUUAGCUUAAAAGACUGUCACGCUUCUGGAGAACAGAAUAUAUUUGGCAGGAGUGGAUAGUAAUUAUCUAAAAAUUCAAUCAAGCCAUUUUUUGAUUGAUUUUUGGGAUGAAAUAUAUGGGCUUCAGUGGAAUUAAUUGCAUCCUAGUAUUUUUUAAAUUUAUGUUUUAAGCAUCAGAUUGCCCCAGCACUCCCACUUUCUUUGGUACUUUUAUUUUUUCCUCUUACCAACUAUAUACAAAGUCUCUUGUAGGUAAAUGCUCUGACUGUAUUGAUUUUUUAAAAAUUACAUAUGUCUUCCACUUCCAGUGAUAUUAGUAUUGUAACACUCAUGUAGCUGAAAAGAAUUUUUACAGAAGGAUAAUUUUCAGUCUUAAAAAUGCCACUGGCCAAGCAAGCAGACUUUCUUGAGACCUACAGAAGGUGCAUGAACAUAACACUGAUUCUGACUGAUGACCAUUUCUUCAGGAAUUUGUUUUCAUGACAUGAACUUAAUGUAUAAGGCUUAAGGAAGUAUUUUAAAUAGCAGUGAAAACAAAAAAUAUGAGACCUAAAUUACAAAAGCAGAAUGGUUUUAUGACAGUAAUGCUAAAGCUGCUGUUAUCAGACACUGCUUGCUGAUGGACCUUGAUGAGAAAACAUUGCUCAGAAAAAUGUCCCAUCAGUGUUGUGAUACCAUCACAUCCCCUGCUCCAGGGCUGAGCCAAAAAAAGCCUGCUCAGAUCUGCAUCUCUUGCUACAUUCUCAGCUGUGAUGGAUUAGGAAGUAAUGAAGAAGAUUUCUCAGAGACUGAUUUAUUAUUAACCUGAUUGUGCAUUUUUUCUGGAACUGUUCUGUAUCAGUUGUGCACACUGAUUUGUAAGAGAAUAAGACUGAAAAUUCAUGUGGAGGAAAGCAACAAAGCCAACAGCAAAAAUGCCAAGAAAGCCUUGAACUGCUUGAGUCACCUUCUUCCCUGCUGAAUUCUCCUGAGGACUCAUGCAGUCUGAAAUGUCUGAUGCACUGGGAACAUGACACCUGCUAGGGGCACAGGAUCCAGUGUGAAGACUGGUUUUGGUAAAAUGGAAGUUCCAAAGUUCAGACCAAGAUCAGUAAACUUGAGGCUUGCCAAUAACUGAGGAGCAAAUGGAAGAAGAGAGGAGAAAGCCAGGGUGUUACUACAGGAAUGAAGCUUUAGCCAAAAUGUUUAAAACACCAGCAGUGGAACUUGAAGAACUGGCAUCCAUGGGUAUGAAUUAAUUACUGGAUUCACCAGGUAAAUUUAAGUCUUGUGUGGCUGUCCUGAAUGUAUUUGACAGAGAGGACUUUCUCAAGUGAAUUAGUCCUUAGAUGCUUUUUGAAUUUUAAGAAGAAAAAUCAAUACACAUUAUUUUUUAGAAAAACUACAAUUAAAUUCCUGCUUUGCAACAUGCCUCCUGCCUUUCUGAGAUCUGGUUCUGGUAGGCUGCUUGGAAAAAAAAAAAAAAAAAGGGAAAUUCCCUGGUCAACUUGAACAAUGUUGUUUUGCAGACCUUUCUCAGCCUGGCUCAAAUGAAUUCAGCACUAAUAACCUUGGGGGUUUAGCUUUUGCUCCAUAUGUACUGGGAGAUUAACAUGACAUGCUUAGAAUAAAAACACUUGUCUAUAAAAUUAUCAGUUCCUGCAGACACCAGUGUGCUGGAUGAAAUUGCUAAAAUAUCUUGCAUUAAAAAACUCUUAUUAAAUACUGGAGAAAUUGUGAGAAUUCCUCCUGAGAUACAACCAGUAAAGAAAACACUAAUUCUGACAGCUGCAUGCAUGGUUUUACAGUUAAGUUUCUUAGUGUAGUUCAGUCCCAGCUACACCACAAGACAAAGCAGACAAUGUGCUGGUUUAGGUUUUUUCUGUGUUUUGUUUUGUUAUUUUUUUUUUUAGAAUAAAAUGGAAAAAAUUAUCACUAGGUGGUGCAUUUUCUGAGCAGGUUUGAGCUCUAGGUAAUUGGGAUACACUUUCUGAGAACAAAGGAGAUGUUUAAAGUUAACCCUAUAAAGCCAGGGCUAAGCCAACAUGCAAUGUGGGCUCUUUCCCUGUAUAACUGUAUUGGAUAAACAUGGCAAGGUAAGAAAAAAUUUCUCAUAAAUCACCUCUCAAUUAAACACUAAACUACCAAAUAGUUGUGUCUACUAUGGCAGUUUCAUCUUAUUCUCUGUACAGCUCUGUCCUUGGAUUAGGAUAAGAAAGCUUCCAUAAAAGCAAAAAGACCAGUGGUGUAUUAAAAAUAACA